Molecule: non-coding RNA, 252 nt
Organism: Coturnix japonica (Japanese quail)
Lineage: Eukaryota; Metazoa; Chordata; Aves; Galliformes; Phasianidae
Source: RefSeq, a predicted model, not a curated record
GUCUCGCUGUUGGAGCAGCUCCUGGUACCGGAUAACGCCGUUAUUCAGCAGGCCACGAAGCGGCUCCGUGAGGCCUUGAAGGAACCGGGGGCUGUGGGGAGCCUGGCCCAGAUCGUCGGUGGGGAACAGAGGCCGCAGCUGCGGCAGCUGGCGGCCAUCUUGUUGCGCCGCCGCCUCUCGGCUUCAAGAUGGCGGCGCCUCGACCCGGAAGUGAAGCUCAGGUGGGCGGGGCUUAAACCGAGCCACGUGAUU